AGGGGACACAAACUAAUCUUCUCCCCUUUACAGAACUCGCGAUUUUUCUUUGGAUGCAGGCAUCCAGGUCGCAAAUCAUUGAAUACAUUCACACACUCGUACUUUUCAGGGUUAACACUAUUAGAAUGAUCACUCAUUCACCAAAUUUACUAUUUAUACACAACAUCCCCAGCAGCCACGAUAUCACAAUCAUUUAUCAGCUAAGAAAAUCUUACUUCUACUUAUUUUUGCAUUUCUGCAUAACGCUACUUAUCUG
This 256-nucleotide long non-coding RNA is filed under the name Nicotiana benthamiana. RNAcentral's name for it is "long non-coding RNA (NBEN_LNC039474)". Lineage: Eukaryota; Viridiplantae; Streptophyta; Magnoliopsida; Solanales; Solanaceae. The record is from RNAcentral.